RNAcentral lists this ribosomal RNA (253 nucleotides) under uncultured bacterium. Its description in RNAcentral is "partial 16S ribosomal RNA". It matches the Rfam family "Bacterial small subunit ribosomal RNA", at positions 524 to 776 of the family's 1533-position model. The record is from RNAcentral.
UACGUAGGGUGCAAGCGUUGUUCGGAAUCACUGGGCUUAAAGGGCGCGUAGGCGGACUGCCAAGUCCGGGGUGAAAUCCUCCGGCUUAACCGGAGAAUUGCCUGGGAUACUGGCGGGCUUGAGGGAGGUAGGGGCACGCGGAACUUCCGGUGGAGCGGUGAAAUGCGUUGAUAUCGGAAGGAACGCCGGUGGCGAAAGCGGCGUGCUGGCCCUCUUCUGACGCUGAGGCGCGAAAGCCAGGGGAGCGAACGGG